GGCAGACAGACAAGGCAGAGGUAGACAGACAGACGUAAAGUUUGGCUUGUUUGCCUGCUUCACCUUACUUUGUCAUAUAUUCUUCGUUAGUACAGGAAACUGGACAGCGUCUUACUUUCGAGCAACAGAUAACACAGGAAAGACUUUCUAAGAGUAUUCCCUUUAGUUGCGCAAUUCAUGAGCAAUAAAUGAGCUGGCUGCCAGGUUUAUGAACUUGUGAAGAGUGCUAAGAUUCUUAUCAUCUAUCAGGUUUUUUUUUUUUUUUGCUUUAUUCAUGAGCAAACUCUCUACUCACACUGCAGGACCUUUUUUUGUUAUUUUUUUAGAGCUCCAGUAUGGCGAUUACACUAAGUUAACCAUUUGAUUCCACAGACGUCGCUUUAAAAUCCAGACAUGUUUGAAAACGUUCUAUAAAAGGGCUAACUGAGAGGCAGACAACCCCAAGUCUUACAGUCACAGGGAGAACAUGGAAACACCACACAGAAAGGUUUCGGCUGAAUUCAAAACAGGACCUCCUUACUGUGAGGUGACAGCGUAAGGCUUUAGACACACACAUCCUGUGUUACAGUGCAGCUGGACAUUUGGAUAAUAUUGAGUAUACGCAGACAUUAGACCUGCAUCUCGUCGUGGAGGAUGCAUACUUCCCUGGAAUUUUCUGUCAUCUAUUGUUGUCCCCUAACAACUCCCCAGACCCCCAAGAUCAACAUCAUCAAGGAUUUGGCUGCUGCUCAUUAAACACCCGAUCACAAGGUGAAUUAUCUGAGACAGCAGCACCCUCAAGAGGAGAAGAAGGCAGAGUGCAGGGAUGUUACUGUGAUUGCAAUAACGCAGUACUUUUACUACAUUUUAGGAGUAGCCACUGUAUUUUUAAGUGCACUUCAAUUGAAAGCUUUUGUUUCCCCCCCCCUUUUUUCCACUUAUCCAGUUCCACUAGAAAUGAGUGCAUCUGAAAAUGUGAAAUUUACAGUGGAGCCUGUAAUUGUGAUUUAAAGGCCAAACAGCCACAAGCUCCCAGAAUGCAUUGCUAUUUACAGAAUAUUACUGUACUUUAAAAAAAUACAGUAAAAUCAUGCUGUGAUUUUUGCAGGAAAUCAUUAGAACAUAUAAUGUUUUUUUUAGUCUGAGUACAAAGUCAGCCAGCUACUAUUUAUGGAGUUCAGGAGUGCUGGUGGUGACUAAUCCUAAGGAUAUAUUGGCCUGACCUUCUUGUCUUCAGUCAGCCUCGGUAACACUGAUGAGAUAAAGAUGACUACUAAAAAUCAAAGCUAUGCUUUUUUUUUCAUGAGUACAAAUGUACUUCAGCACCUCCACAGGUUGACACUUUUCCCAACUAACCAAAUUAAAAAUCUUUUGAGUUUCUGUGACGUGUUGACUAAACUGAUUUUUUAUUGAGUGAGCUGUGUGUGUCUC
Molecule: long non-coding RNA, 1410 nt
Organism: Oreochromis niloticus (Nile tilapia)
Lineage: Eukaryota; Metazoa; Chordata; Actinopteri; Cichliformes; Cichlidae
Exons: 3
Source: RefSeq, a predicted model, not a curated record